UGGGGAAUAUUGCGCAAUGGGGGGGAACCCUGACGCAGCCAUGCCGCGUGAAUGAAGAAGGCCUUAGGGUUGUAAAGUUCUUUCGGUAUUGAGGAAGGUUGAUGUGUUAAUAGCACAUCAAAUUGACGUUAAAUACAGAAGAAGCACCGGCUAACUCCGUGCCAGCAGCCGCGGUAAUACGGAGGGUGCGAGCGUUAAUCGGAAUAACUGGGCGUAAAGGGCACGCAGGCGGUUAUUUAAGUGAGGUGUGAAAGCCCCGGGCUUAACCUGGGAAUUGCAUUUCAGACUGGGUAACUAGAGUACUUUAGGGAGGGGUAGAAUUCCACGUGUAGCGGUGAAAUGCGUAGAGAUGUGGAGGAAUACCGAAGGCGAAGGCAGCCCCUUGGGAAUGUACUGACGCUCAUGUGCGAAAGCGUGGGGAGCAAACAGGAUUAGAUACCCUGGUAGUCCACGCUGUAAACGCUGUCGAUUUGGGGGUUGGGGUUUAACUCUGGCGCCCGUAGCUAACGUGAUAAAUCGACCGCCUGGGGAGUACGANCCGCAAGGUUA
RNAcentral lists this ribosomal RNA (549 nucleotides) under uncultured bacterium. RNAcentral's name for it is "bacterial SSU rRNA". It matches the Rfam family "Bacterial small subunit ribosomal RNA", at positions 355 to 896 of the family's 1533-position model. The record is from RNAcentral.